UCCCGUGUAGUGAAGUGGCAUCACAACUGUCUCUGAAUCAGUUAUCCUAGGUUCGACCCCUGGCACGGGAU
This 71-nucleotide transfer RNA is filed under the name Minisyncoccota bacterium. RNAcentral describes it as "tRNA-Gln". It matches the Rfam family "tRNA". Rfam says of the family: Transfer RNA (tRNA) molecules are approximately 80 nucleotides in length. Their secondary structure includes four short double-helical elements and three loops (D, anti-codon, and T loops). Lineage: Bacteria; Bacillati; Minisyncoccota. The record is from RNAcentral.